Molecule: ribosomal RNA, 607 nt
Filed under: Spathebothrium simplex
Lineage: Eukaryota; Metazoa; Platyhelminthes; Cestoda; Spathebothriidea; Spathebothriidae
Description: partial internal transcribed spacer 2
Rfam family: 5.8S ribosomal RNA (bases 2-145)
Source: RNAcentral
CCGGUGGAUCACGUGGCUAGUGUGUCGAUGAAGAGCGCAGCCAACUGUGUGAAUUAAUGUGAAUCGCAGACUGCUUUGAACAUCGACCUCUUGAACGCACAUUGCGGCCGUAGGCUUGCCUAUGGCCACGUCUGGCCGAGGGUCGGCUUAUAAACUAUCACGACGCGUAAAAAGUCGUGGCUUGGAAGGUUGCCGGCGGGCGUUAAACUCUUAUUCAGUUUGAGAGAAGCCUGACUGCGACGGCUCCUUCUUAAUGUGGCUUUUAAAAGCACCAGUUGCCUUGUUAACACGAAGCUUAUGGUAAUGUCUGUACAUGUAUGUGAGUGUAUAUGUAUAUAAGCCUUGCAUAGAUUGUGUGUGUGUGUAAAGUGCUGGCUAACAUUGGCCGUGGCUCAGUGUGUGUAUGUGUGUAUAGCACGCCUGUGUCCAGUACUAAUGCAAAGGUGAAUAUAUAUGUGUAUGCGAUUACCGUGAGUUUGAGUGUGAGGUAGCGAAGCCAAUAUAUACAUAUGGUGAGGACUUCUCUCCAUUGUCUGACCUCGGAUCAGUCGUGAUUACCCGCUGAACUUAAGCAUAUCACUAAGCGGAGGAAAAGAAACUACCAGGA